RNAcentral lists this unclassified non-coding RNA (313 nucleotides) under uncultured Dothideomycetes. Its description in RNAcentral is "sequence contains ITS1". The stretch from base 1 to 105 matches the Rfam family "5.8S ribosomal RNA", at positions 50 to 154 of the family's 154-position model. The record is from RNAcentral. Lineage: Eukaryota; Fungi; Ascomycota; Dothideomycetes.
GAAAUGCGAUAAGUAGUGUGAAUUGCAGAAUUCAGUGAAUCAUCGAAUCUUUGAACGCAUAUUGCGCCCCUCGGUAUCCCGGGGGGCAUGCCUGUUCGAGCGUCAUUUCAACCACUCAAGCCUAGCUUGGUAUUGGGCAUCGUUGUACUUUUCUUCUCUGUUAGAGAAGACAACGUGCCUUAAAUAUAGACAGCGGCAAGUAUAAGUUCCGAGCGUAGCAGUAAAACAUUUCGCUUUAGGUAUUUUGUACAUUGUCAGCUAGUAAUACUAUCAUUUUGACCUCGGAUCAGGCAGGGAUACCCGCUGAACUUAA